AGGAGAAGUGGCAGAAUGGUUAUGCGGUUGACUUGAAAUCAUCUGAUAAGGGUUUAAUUCCCUUCUUCUCUUA
RNAcentral lists this transfer RNA (73 nucleotides) under Holothuria fuscocinerea. RNAcentral's name for it is "tRNA-Ser". It matches the Rfam family "tRNA". Rfam says of the family: Transfer RNA (tRNA) molecules are approximately 80 nucleotides in length. Their secondary structure includes four short double-helical elements and three loops (D, anti-codon, and T loops). The record is from RNAcentral. Lineage: Eukaryota; Metazoa; Echinodermata; Holothuroidea; Aspidochirotida; Holothuriidae.